This is a long non-coding RNA of Neodiprion fabricii, 835 nucleotides long. RefSeq lists it as uncharacterized. The record is from RefSeq and is a predicted model, not a curated record. Lineage: Eukaryota; Metazoa; Arthropoda; Insecta; Hymenoptera; Diprionidae. The transcript is spliced from 3 exons.
GCCGCUUGAGUCUGGAAUCGGCAGGAAAGACAAGCAAUCGUCGACCGCCAAAAUUCCUCAGUCUGGAAACAACCGCGCAGUAGAGCGGACGGAUGAGAAUCGCGCUCCGCAGAUUUCGAGUACCGGGUUCUUUACCUCCUGGAUUCUGCGGUCCGGGUCCGCUUCUUGGUGCAACUCGACUUCCAGGACAAGGGCUCCGUAGUUCUGGCUAUCCAGGUCCUUGAUCCGGUGACUUUUGACCUUUAGGACUAAUUUUCCGUAGUUCGGGCUGUUCAGGUCGUCCACCUGAUGGAUCUUGACGUCCAGAAAAAGCGCUCCGUAGUUCUGGCUGUCCAAGUUCUUAAUGUGGUGACCGUCGACCUAGCGCUCCGUGGUUCCUGUUUCAUGUUUACGAUGAAUUAUUUCAAUUCAUUUUUUUGCGUAAGCUCAAAUUCAGUAGCUCUCAUUGCGCUAAUAAAAUUUCUACAAUUUUUUAUAAUUUUCUCAUAAUCCCCUUGUUAAAAUGUGUCAAUACAGAAAUUAUAAUAAUCCUUACACAAUGCUUUUGAUGUGUUUUGAUACUGGAAAUAUUUCUUAGUAUUCGAGGUAUACCCCGAAGUGGUUGUUUUUGGUUGUUGGAGGUGGUUGGAGGUGGACGAGGAGGAGGACGAGAAAGAGGAGGAGAACAAGGUGGACGAGGAGGACGAGGAUUUGUGCUCGGUAUAACCUGAGGUGGUUAUUGGUGGUUAUUGGUGGUUGUUGGGGGCGGUUGGCGGUGGUCGGAGGUGGACGAGGAGGAGGACGAGAAAGAUGAGGAAAACAAGGUGGACGAGGAGGACGAGGAUUUGUGCUCGGU